Non-coding RNA from Notechis scutatus (mainland tiger snake), 3924 nucleotides. The record is from RefSeq and is a predicted model, not a curated record. Lineage: Eukaryota; Metazoa; Chordata; Lepidosauria; Squamata; Elapidae.
CCAUACAUGUUCUUCUAGUCCAAAGGAAUAUUUACCUUUCCCUAUAUAUCCUAUUUUGAAAAUUAUUAUGCAGGGUAUUUUAUAUUGUUAAAAUUUGCUCCAAGCCAAUCAAUCUUCUGAGCAUUGAGUAAACUUUCAGUAAACUUUUCAUUUCCAUUAUUUUCCUGGAAUUAUAAAACAAGGGAAUUUUCCAGACCUUGGCUACAUUAAACUAUGGGAGUGAGUUCCGGGCAAUGCAAGCCUACCGAGAGAAUUGAGCAAUUAAUAUAAAUAAUGUAGCAGUGGGUUAAAUUUAAAUGAAGAGGGUCCAUUUUCAUCCUGAAACAACUGCUACUUUGAAGAAAGCUUCGGAGUUCAAAGGAACAUUUUGCAAAACACACAACUUAAGCUUUCGGUAAUUCUCUUAGGAGUGCUAAAUCUCAGUUUUUCUGAGUGAAAUUAGAAAACACAAGGUUGUAUUUUUGUUGCCAGUUUUGUUCAGUUAGGCAAGGGGAUAAAAACAAUAAUGAUCUGAAGAAAAAUGAAUGACUGGAAAAUCCCAUUCCUACAUCACCUACAGCUUUCAGACUGGAACAGAUUGCUAACAUUUAAGGUUUGUUCAAAUCACAUCUGCACCCUGAAAGUCGUUUUCUCCCAUUGGUCUGCAAAACCUUGCAAUCUGCCACCAACAGGAACAUCCAAGCUGCUAUUUGUAUUUUCGAAACGGUCUGUUUGAUGAACCACGGAAUGACUGCUUGGUCUGUGGUUGAGCUCUUGCCUUGUAGUUGUUGCCUUGAGCUUGUUGAAAUUGUUGUCUCUGGCCAAAGUUUGGUUGAUCUCUUUGACAGGUCGAUCUGUAGAAAGGGGCACAAAAAGAUCGUGUGUAAUAGGGUGAGAAUUUGUUGUCUGUUUUCUUUAAGACUGAUGGCACUAUCUUACAUUUAUCCCGUGAUUCGAUGAGAACGGUAUCUAGGGAUGCCCCAAAUAGCUUUCCUAUGGUGCGGAUGCCAGCUUCCAUUUCUUCUUGGCAUCAGCCUGCCAAUAUCUGAGCCAGAGUGACCUGCGUGCGGCAACUGCCGAAGACAUGGCCUGAGAAGCAAAUUUGACAGAGUUUAAAGUUGCGUCUGCCGUAUAUUCUGAUGCAGCUAUGAUUUUGUUGAAAUCUAAAUGGGCUCUUAUAUUGUCUGUUGGUGCCUGCUGCUGCGUUUGUCUUAGCUGUAUCACAGCGGCCCUAGUAAAAACUGAUGCCGCUGUGGCGGUCUUGACCGCCCACGCAGCUGCCUGGUGUGUCUUUCAUCACAUUGAAUCAGCUUUUUUGUCUUCUCCUUUCAGGACAUCAUAAUCGUUGAGAGUAGUUGAAGAAGCUAACGCUAGCACUGGUUCAUCGACCUCAAUCCUACCUGAAUAAUCGGAGUGUUCAUCUUCUGAUGUAGCAGGAGAACAUGUUCUAGUAUGUCCAGGGGGGGUGGGAGUGUUUUCUACGGUGAGAGGGGCCUACUCUUGACUCUGCCUGUAUAGGAUAGUUCAUCUGAAAUUCCCCCAUCAUUUCCUGACCGAUCAUUUGGGUAAACCACUCCUGAACCACCAGUGGCAUUAAUUGUCCUCCUGGUUCAGCGUGUUGCGUUUGCACAGGUUUAGGCAACGAAUGAGCCAUAGAUACAGGAUUAUUCCAGUAAGAACACCCUGGCACUUCAGAAUCCUGCAUGUUUGUAACUGCUUGGGCCGAAGUUCCCAUGUCUGAUCCCACUUGGAAAAACAUUGGCUGAUUUGUGUGAUCCCCUUUGGGAGGACUUAACUUGUUCACUUGUUCUUUUGAAUUUUUUUUCUACUUGCUUUACCAACGCAUUGUGUAGUCUACGCUCAGCCAGCUCAUCAGCUUUAGUUUUUCUGCUAGCUCUGGCCCUGGCUCUGAGUUUGUCAGCUGCCUCCUGUGCUGAUCCUUUGGUCUUACAGAUUCUUUUACCCCUAUCUUUCUGCUGGGUGGGAGCGAUCUGCUGUGGAUAGAGUGCGUUGGAAGAUUCCUUCAUAACGUCUGUAAAUGCCUGUACUAGUACUGUGACUAUAUUAAAUAAAGGUAAAAGUACAAUUAAUUAGUCUGUAGUAAUCUUUUAAAAAGUCACUAUUAAUAAGUUAAUAAUAAAUGGUUUAGGGAGACAAAAAGAAAUUUUUCUUUUUUUUGAGGCUUUGCCCCUGAGGACUGAAGACAAGUAAAAAAACGCCUCUAUAAUCAGAUUGAGUAAAGUUCGGGUUGUAAUGCACUUGUAACUAGGCAGAAAAUGGACGCCUCUACAAAAUGGCGCUCCCGCCAAAAUUAACCGCCGCCAUCAGACCCAACAGCUUUGCUCAGACAGUUCCGUUGCUGGAACCUCGUUGUUGCAGGCACAAGAGCUCUACUUAGACUGCGCUCCCUUAUAUGGGCACGCUGUCUUACAGGCUUUCGUUCCGGGGGCCCUCUGAUAUCGAUCUUUAGAGCGGUCUCUUCACCCGCUGUUUGGCACGAAACCAGCCAUUCCGCAUUAAAAUCAAAUAAAGGUGCCUUUUGCGCUCGGCUGUCUAGCGCUCCCUCAUAUGGGCAGGCUGCCCAGCCGGCGAAACGAAGCCUCUCUGACGCUCCCCAAUCCCUAUUCCAGAUAUUCAUUUGCAAAGGCUGACAAAAAAGAGAGGCUUAUGAUCACGGUAAUCACCCAGGCUAUUGAAAAAGGCUAUGGUGCAAUUAGUCCCGUAAGGACUGUUGUGUGGUUAGUCCAAAAUAACAAAUUUAAAUAAGAAAAAUACUACAAACACCCCUCUAUCAAUAAAAUACAGAGGAGCAAGAUUAAGCACAUCUGUCUUCGCCAAGACUGAAUAGAACUGGAGACGGUGCCCUGGAGGGGGUGUGUCUUCAAUUUUUCUAUUCGGUCUGGAGCCAAAUGGAACUGAGUACUUCCCAUGCAUGGAUCCUGUCAAAACCGUUCUGGAGAAUAUGCCAGUUUCUUACCCGAAUAAGUUGCAUGUGCAGUUAGAUCAAGAUUUGUGAUAUUUAGGCAAGGGAUGCAGAAGAAGGCAUUUAUAGGAACAGAUUUGACUUUCCAUGCCUCCUUGGAAGCCUAAUCCGCUUAGUAAACUGUUGAGUUUCAUCGAGACAGUUUCUUCUCCAAAUAAUGUUCAACUUCCUUAAAUAUUCAGUGCUUUUGGAGAAGACAAGUUCUUUAUUUUUGUGCAUACUAACAAAUUAUCCCAAAAUAGUGAAGCUGUCAUUUUUGGGGUGGCUUUUUGAUUAUAAAAUAGCUUGGUGUUAGAUGGAAUGGAAAAGAAAUGUGGUGCUGUGUUCACUUGGCUUCUAAACCAUGAAGGGAACAUCCAAGUUUAGCAUUAAAUGAUAUAGUGCAGGUGGGCUGCUGUGGCUUCAGUUUACCUCUGGUGAGACUUGCAAUUUUUUUUUAUUGCGGCUGAUCUCUGAGCAAUGAUCUGCCAAUCAUCUUUGGGAAGACAUAAAUUCCUAAAGCACCCAUCCCAAGAUAACAUCCUGUAUUGUCUAAUUCCCAGAAUGCUCCAGCAUACUAGCCUCGUCUGAAAGAUACCAUAUCUUUAAUUGCUAAUCUAGCAGAGAUAAAUUUUAUCACUGACAAAGGGCAUUGCUGCAUCUCUAAAUUAUGGUGCAGAUGUGUUUAUUUAUGUGGUUAAGUAGCAUUCAUUUUAUGUGAUUAGUAAUGUUUUCAUUCAUGUUAGUACUGAAUUUUUAACAGGCUGUUUGCCUGCUUUAUUAAAUUAGAAAAAAAAUGUUGGCUCAACUGUAUAUCACAAUUUGAUAAGCACCAGUGAAAAAUAAAAUGUUCUAGUGUGCCAAGAGCAUUAUUUAAAAGCAAAACUGUCUUUAAUUGAAUAUUGAUCUUAAUAUUUGUUAUUUAGCUCAGCAUCGCUCCUGCAUCACUUUUUUAAUUGAGAAAGGAAUUUACACCUGCCUAU